Molecule: ribosomal RNA, 2954 nt
Filed under: Escherichia coli
Lineage: Bacteria; Pseudomonadati; Pseudomonadota; Gammaproteobacteria; Enterobacterales; Enterobacteriaceae
Description: bacterial LSU rRNA
Rfam family: Bacterial large subunit ribosomal RNA
Source: RNAcentral
UUAAGCGACUAAGCGUACACGGUGGAUGCCCUGGCAGUCAGAGGCGAUGAAGGACGUGCUAAUCUGCGAUAAGCGUCGGUAAGGUGAUAUGAACCGUUAUAACCGGCGAUUUCCGAAUGGGGAAACCCAGUGUGAUUCGUCACACUAUCAUUAACUGAAUCCAUAGGUUAAUGAGGCGAACCGGGGGAACUGAAACAUCUAAGUACCCCGAGGAAAAGAAAUCAACCGAGAUUCCCCCAGUAGCGGCGAGCGAACGGGGAGGAGCCCAGAGCCUGAAUCAGUGUGUGUGUUAGUGGAAGCGUCUGGAAAGGCGCGCGAUACAGGGUGACAGCCCCGUACACAAAAAUGCACAUGCUGUGAGCUCGAUGAGUAGGGCGGGACACGUGGUAUCCUGUCUGAAUAUGGGGGGACCAUCCUCCAAGGCUAAAUACUCCUGACUGACCGAUAGUGAACCAGUACCGUGAGGGAAAGGCGAAAAGAACCCCGGCGAGGGGAGUGAAAAAGAACCUGAAACCGUGUACGUACAAGCAGUGGGAGCCUCUUUAUGGGGUGACUGCGUACCUUUUGUAUAAUGGGUCAGCGACUUAUAUUCUGUAGCAAGGUUAACCGAAUAGGGGAGCCGAAGGGAAACCGAGUCUUAACUGGGCGUUAAGUUGCAGGGUAUAGACCCGAAACCCGGUGAUCUAGCCAUGGGCAGGUUGAAGGUUGGGUAACACUAACUGGAGGACCGAACCGACUAAUGUUGAAAAAUUAGCGGAUGACUUGUGGCUGGGGGUGAAAGGCCAAUCAAACCGGGAGAUAGCUGGUUCUCCCCGAAAGCUAUUUAGGUAGCGCCUCGUGAAUUCAUCUCCGGGGGUAGAGCACUGUUUCGGCAAGGGGGUCAUCCCGACUUACCAACCCGAUGCAAACUGCGAAUACCGGAGAAUGUUAUCACGGGAGACACACGGCGGGUGCUAACGUCCGUCGUGAAGAGGGAAACAACCCAGACCGCCAGCUAAGGUCCCAAAGUCAUGGUUAAGUGGGAAACGAUGUGGGAAGGCCCAGACAGCCAGGAUGUUGGCUUAGAAGCAGCCAUCAUUUAAAGAAAGCGUAAUAGCUCACUGGUCGAGUCGGCCUGCGCGGAAGAUGUAACGGGGCUAAACCAUGCACCGAAGCUGCGGCAGCGACACUAUGUGUUGUUGGGUAGGGGAGCGUUCUGUAAGCCUGCGAAGGUGUACUGUGAGGUAUGCUGGAGGUAUCAGAAGUGCGAAUGCUGACAUAAGUAACGAUAAAGCGGGUGAAAAGCCCGCUCGCCGGAAGACCAAGGGUUCCUGUCCAACGUUAAUCGGGGCAGGGUGAGUCGACCCCUAAGGCGAGGCCGAAAGGCGUAGUCGAUGGGAAACAGGUUAAUAUUCCUGUACUUGGUGUUACUGCGAAGGGGGGACGGAGAAGGCUAUGUUGGCCGGGCGACGGUUGUCCCGGUUUAAGCGUGUAGGCUGGUUUUCCAGGCAAAUCCGGAAAAUCAAGGCUGAGGCGUGAUGACGAGGCACUACGGUGCUGAAGCAACAAAUGCCCUGCUUCCAGGAAAAGCCUCUAAGCAUCAGGUAACAUCAAAUCGUACCCCAAACCGACACAGGUGGUCAGGUAGAGAAUACCAAGGCGCUUGAGAGAACUCGGGUGAAGGAACUAGGCAAAAUGGUGCCGUAACUUCGGGAGAAGGCACGCUGAUAUGUAGGUGAAGCGACUUGCUCGUGGAGCUGAAAUCAGUCGAAGAUACCAGCUGGCUGCAACUGUUUAUUAAAAACACAGCACUGUGCAAACACGAAAGUGGACGUAUACGGUGUGACGCCUGCCCGGUGCCGGAAGGUUAAUUGAUGGGGUUAGCGCAAGCGNNNNNNNNNNNNNNNNNNNNNNNNNNNNNNNNNNNNNNNNNNNNNNNNGCAAGCGAAGCUCUUGAUCGAAGCCCCGGUAAACGGCGGCCGUAACUAUAACGGUCCUAAGGUAGCGAAAUUCCUUGUCGGGUAAGUUCCGACCUGCACGAAUGGCGUAAUGAUGGCCAGGCUGUCUCCACCCGAGACUCAGUGAAAUUGAACUCGCUGUGAAGAUGCAGUGUACCCGCGGCAAGACGGAAAGACCCCGUGAACCUUUACUAUAGCUUGACACUGAACAUUGAGCCUUGAUGUGUAGGAUAGGUGGGAGGCUUUGAAGUGUGGACGCCAGUCUGCAUGGAGCCGACCUUGAAAUACCACCCUUUAAUGUUUGAUGUUCUAACGUUGGCCCGUAAUCCGGGUUGCGGACAGUGUCUGGUGGGUAGUUUGACUGGGGCGGUCUCCUCCUAAAGAGUAACGGAGGAGCACGAAGGUUGGCUAAUCCUGGUCGGACAUCAGGAGGUUAGUGCAAUGGCAUAAGCCAGCUUGACUGCGAGCGUGACGGCGCGAGCAGGUGCGAAAGCAGGUCAUAGUGAUCCGGUGGUUCUGAAUGGAAGGGCCAUCGCUCAACGGAUAAAAGGUACUCCGGGGAUAACAGGCUGAUACCGCCCAAGAGUUCAUAUCGACGGCGGUGUUUGGCACCUCGAUGUCGGCUCAUCACAUCCUGGGGCUGAAGUAGGUCCCAAGGGUAUGGCUGUUCGCCAUUUAAAGUGGUACGCGAGCUGGGUUUAGAACGUCGUGAGACAGUUCGGUCCCUAUCUGCCGUGGGCGCUGGAGAACUGAGGGGGGCUGCUCCUAGUACGAGAGGACCGGAGUGGACGCAUCACUGGUGUUCGGGUUGUCAUGCCAAUGGCACUGCCCGGUAGCUAAAUGCGGAAGAGAUAAGUGCUGAAAGCAUCUAAGCACGAAACUUGCCCCGAGAUGAGUUCUCCCUGACUCCUUGAGAGUCCUGAAGGAACGUUGAAGACGACGACGUUGAUAGGCCGGGUGUGUAAGCGCAGCGAUGCGUUGAGCUAACCGGUACUAAUGAACCGUGAGGCUUAACCU